GCUCCGACUUACCCAAUAUGAUCCAGCCAAGUCCAUGCAUGCGUACGUGUUGCGGGCUUGCGGCUCAUUCAGGAUCGACAUUUCAUCAUUCAUCCAUGGCGAGCGAGCUAUAUAUGAAAUUGUGUAUUGCGCUGACGACGGAUCGUGUCUAGACAUGCCACUGCUUGCUGCUCUGGUGGUGCCCUUGCUCGUACGCCGCCGACGACAUGCAGGGAUCGAAGCCGGCCAUGGUGAGUAUGUCGCCGUGGGAGAAGGCUCUCAGCCCCAAGAAGUCCCUGGUGAAACCAUCGUUGGCGCCUACCACCGAGACGGCGGCGGCAUUGCCGCAGGCGUCCCGGUCAGCACUGGUGGUGGUCCUCUCCUCCGCUCCGAAGUGAUGAGGUGCUCCAAAGCCGAAGGCACCAGCGCCAGUGCCAGGCACGUUGAUUGCAGCA
Molecule: unclassified non-coding RNA, 434 nt
Filed under: Zea mays
Lineage: Eukaryota; Viridiplantae; Streptophyta; Magnoliopsida; Poales; Poaceae
Description: misc RNA Zm00001eb337710
Source: RNAcentral